Molecule: non-coding RNA, 23 nt
Filed under: Cricetulus griseus (Chinese hamster)
Lineage: Eukaryota; Metazoa; Chordata; Mammalia; Rodentia; Cricetidae
Source: RNAcentral
UUAAAUGUCAGUGGAAAUUAUGG